AAAUCUUGUAAUCCCUGUGGGACCACCUGUGGCGAAGGCGUCUUACCAGAACGGGUUCGACGGUGAGGGACGAAAGCUGGGGGCACGAACCGGAUUAGAUACCCGGGUAGUCCCAGCCGUAAACGAUGCUCGCUAGGUGUCAGGCAUGGCGCGACCGUGUCUGGUGCCGCAG
RNAcentral lists this ribosomal RNA (172 nucleotides) under uncultured Methanosarcina sp. RNAcentral's name for it is "partial 16S ribosomal RNA". It matches the Rfam family "Archaeal small subunit ribosomal RNA", at positions 635 to 806 of the family's 1478-position model. Lineage: Archaea; Methanobacteriati; Methanobacteriota; Methanomicrobia; Methanosarcinales; Methanosarcinaceae. The record is from RNAcentral.